UACGGGGGGGGCAAGCGUUGUUCGGAAUUACUGGGCGUAAAGCGCGUGUAGGCGGCUUGGCAAGUCGGGUGUGAAAGCCCUGGGCUCAACCUAGGAAGUGCACUCGAAACUGCUUUGCUGGAGUGUCGGAGAGGAAAGCGGAAUUCUCGGUGUAGAGGUGAAAUUCGUAGAUAUCGAGAGGAACAUCGGUGGCGAAGGCAGCUUGCUGGACCUGUAUUGACGCUGAGGCACGAAAGCGUGGGGAGCAAACAGG
This 253-nucleotide ribosomal RNA is filed under the name uncultured bacterium. Its description in RNAcentral is "partial 16S ribosomal RNA". It matches the Rfam family "Bacterial small subunit ribosomal RNA", at positions 524 to 776 of the family's 1533-position model. The record is from RNAcentral.